UACGUAGGGGGCAAGCGUUGUCCGGAAUUAUUGGGCGUAAAGCGCGCGUAGGCGGACCUGCAAGUCGGGGGUGAAAGCCCGAGGCUCAACCUCGGAACUGCCUUCGAUACUGCGGGUCUCGAGUCCGGGAGAGGUGAGUGGAAUUCCUAGUGUAGAGGUGAAAUUCGUAGAUAUUAGGAAGAACACCAGUGGCGAAGGCGGCUCACUGGCCCGGUACUGACGCUGAGGCGCGAAAGCGUGGGGAGCAAACAGG
This 253-nucleotide ribosomal RNA is filed under the name uncultured bacterium. RNAcentral's name for it is "partial 16S ribosomal RNA". It matches the Rfam family "Bacterial small subunit ribosomal RNA", at positions 524 to 776 of the family's 1533-position model. The record is from RNAcentral.